This 827-nucleotide ribosomal RNA is filed under the name aquatic bacterium R1-B16. RNAcentral's name for it is "bacterial SSU rRNA". It matches the Rfam family "Bacterial small subunit ribosomal RNA", at positions 8 to 834 of the family's 1533-position model. The record is from RNAcentral.
AGAGUUUGAUCAUGGCUCAGAUUGAACGCUGGCGGAAUGCUUUACACAUGCAAGUCGAACGGUAGAGGGGGCAACCCCUCGAGAGUGGCGAACGGGUGAGUAAUAUAUCGGAACGUGCCCAGUCGUGGGGGAUAACGUAGCGAAAGUUACGCUAAUACCGCAUACGAUCUAAGGAUGAAAGCGGGGGAUCGCAAGACCUCGCGCGAUUGGAGCGGCCGAUAUCAGAUUAGGUAGUUGGUGAGGUAAAGGCUCACCAAGCCAACGAUCUGUAGCUGGUCUGAGAGGACGACCAGCCACACUGGAACUGAGACACGGUCCAGACUCCUACGGGAGGCAGCAGUGGGGAAUUUUGGACAAUGGACGCAAGUCUGAUCCAGCCAUUCCGCGUGCAGGAUGAAGGCCCUCGGGUUGUAAACUGCUUUUGUACGGAACGAAAAGGUCUCUCUUAAUACGGGGGGCUCAUGACGGUACCGUAAGAAUAAGCACCGGCUAACUACGUGCCAGCAGCCGCGGUAAUACGUAGGGUGCAAGCGUUAAUCGGAAUUACUGGGCGUAAAGCGUGCGCAGGCGGUUAUAUAAGACAGAUGUGAAAUCCCCGGGCUCAACCUGGGAACUGCAUUUGUGACUGUAUAGCUAGAGUACGGUAGAGGGGGAUGGAAUUCCGCGUGUAGCAGUGAAAUGCGUAGAUAUGCGGAGGAACACCGAUGGCGAAGGCAAUCCCCUGGACCUGUACUGACGCUCAUGCACGAAAGCGUGGGGAGCAAACAGGAUUAGAUACCCUGGUAGUCCACGCCCUAAACGAUGUCAACUGGUUGUUGGGUCUUCAC